GCUGGCGGCAUGCUAACACAUGCAGUCGAACGAACCUUCGGGGUUAGUGGCGCACGGGUGCGUAACGCGUGGGAAUCUGCCCUUAGGUACGGAAUAACUCAGGGAAACUUGUGCUAAUACCGUAUGAUGUCGAGAGACCAAAGAUUUAUCGCCUAGGGAUGAGCCCGCGUAGGAUUAGCUAGUUGGUGGGGUAAAGGCCUACCAAGGCUACGAUCCUUAGCUGGUCUGAGAGGAUGAUCAGCCACACUGGGACUGAGACACGGCCCAGACUCCUACGGGAGGCAGCAGUGGGGAAUAUUGGACAAUGGGCGAAAGCCUGAUCCAGCAAUGCCGCGUGAGUGAAGAAGGCCUUAGGGUUGUAAAGCUCUUUUACCCGGGAAGAUAAUGACUGUACCGGGAGAAUAAGCCCCGGCUAACUCCGUGCCAGCAGCCGCGGUAAUACGGAGGGGGCUAGCGUUGUUCGGAAUUACUGGGCGUAAAGCGUCCGUAGGCGGCUUUUUAAGUCAGAGGUGAAAGCCCACGACUCAAUCGUGGAACUGCCUUUGAGACUGAAUCGCUUGAAGAUGGGAG
This 570-nucleotide ribosomal RNA is filed under the name uncultured bacterium. Its description in RNAcentral is "bacterial SSU rRNA". It matches the Rfam family "Bacterial small subunit ribosomal RNA", at positions 35 to 654 of the family's 1533-position model. The record is from RNAcentral.